UCAAUUUGCAGUUUUGAUAAAUCACCUUCCAAAGACACAGUUUGUUACCUUUACGAAAAAUCACUGAGUGUGUUACUGUGCACAGAUUUUCACUUGAGACUGGAUGGUUAUGACUUUGAAGAAUAAACUAAGGUUUGCCUUUUCUAAAAAUCAUGGCACCAGAAAAACUACACUCCUCACCAUAUUAUGUAUAUGGUGGGUGCUUACCUGGACUGGUGCCCAAGCGACAACAGAACACCAGAAUCCUGAGACAUCUAAAAUGGAGAAAAUGAGGAUGAAUGAUGAUUUCAGGCAAAACACAAAUGCAACGCAUGAAUCCAAUAAAGAAACUUCCCAACAAUCUGCAGCUAUACACAUUGAAAAUGCCACAGGAGCUAGAGCUACCUCUCAUACUAAAAGUGAUACAAAACCAAUUAGAGCAUUAUCCACUACUGGUACAGCAGUACCUCCCAGGAGAGUCUCGAUCAAAAAUUCAACAGAAAAAACAAGCUAUACUACAACACUGGCUCCUAGACCUAUUGGAAAUUUACCAGUGAUGACUACUCACUCAACACCUGAUUCAAAUACAGCUAACGUAAAGCUGGUGUUCGACUGCUCAUUUCCUGUUCCCAGUGAGAGUAUGGUCUUGAAUGCUAUCCAAACUCUGCUGAUCUCUCGAUCUGCAAACAUCUCAGAUACAGUGAAAGUACUGGGCUUCUACUAUAAUAAAACCUCAGCCAACUCCUAUGAAGUUAAUUUCAUAAUCAACAUUAGUAUCAUCAUGCCAGAGAAGCAUGCCCUCAGGAAAAACACCUACAAGCAAAUCCAAACAUCCAUCAGCAACACAGUAAGUAAACAUGACCACCUGUGUAAAAGUUUGAUCUACUGGAUUUAAUGAGCAUGUGAUACUUUAAAAAAGGUUAAAAAUAAAUAAAUUUUUUUAACAUAAAAAAAAGGUAAAAAAAAAAAAAAAAUAGACUCUGAGUGAUUUGUGAAAUCAGUCAGGCAAAUGGAUUUAAAAUUCACAAUGACAGAAGAAUGUUUAAAUAUGUUUUUGGUUAAUCAAAAGAAAAGUCAUGUAUUUUCACUUUCCCUGAAAGAUUACUUGCUGCAAACCAGUGAGGAGUGAAGUGUGAGUUUCACAAUAUGUAGACCAUUUUUAUCAGGCAGGUGUUCCACAACUGUUGGAUGUUAGCAUCUAUGCAAUUUUUCUCUGCUAAAAAAAAAAAAAUCAGGAGGCAGCAAUGAGGCCUCAACAAUGUACAAAUAGACAGUUGGUUAAAGUUAGCUAACUAGUGUAUUUUACUAGUUUCGCCAAAACACAGUAAAAUGGAGUUAGAGGAAGUGACUUGCAAAAAGUAUCUGUGAACAGCUGUAGGGCCCUUAAAUUUACACAGAAAAUAAAGUGAAGAGCUGAUUAGCAGGGGGGAAAAAAACAAGUGUGUUCUCAGUCAUGUGCAAUUGGUUUGUUGUAAUAAGUUCAGUACUGUAAAGUCAGUCAGACAGAUUGCAUUUCCAUAAAAAAUUUAAAUUAGAAAUAUGUUUUAAAUAAGAUAUAUCUUUUCAAUGGGAUUUACUCGUUGUGGCCAGCAAAAUGAAGACUGAUGAAUGUACAGUGAACAAUUAAAACUGAAACAUCUGUGCUAGGAUAGCUACUAGCAGAAUUUUAAAUAUAUAUUUUCAUCUCCAGCUAAACAUUUUAUUAAAUGAACCUGGUGCAGAACCAUUUGAACCCCAUACCUCCUACAUCAUGUAAGUUCAAAGAAGCAUUGGUUUAUUAAAUCAUACUGUACAGUGAAUUGCAUGAUUGUCAUGUUUACAUUUUGCUGCUCUCCUUACAGGGAUGUGGACAUUGAAAUAGAGUACAAUUUUGGAUGUGGGGAUUGCAAACGACCAAUCAGCUUCCUAAAUGAAAUCAGUGGUAUGUUACACCACAGAUUCUGGCCUUAAGAAUGGAGAAUGGGUGGUUGAAAUUAAAUAAAUGCUCCAGUAAUUGUAUCUGUUAUUAAAACUGCUUUCAUGCGACUUCACCCACAACAGCUUUAGCAACAACUCCAAGAACGACAACAGUUCCUCCAACAACUUCAAGACAUGAGAACAUAACUGGAACUGUAUACAUUUAUAUUAAGGUUAUAUUUGAGAACUUGACACAUGUACCUACCGAGGCUGAUGUUAUCAGUGCUGCUAAUGAUCUCCUGGAAUCAAACAAAUCAGUGAGAGAUCUUGGAAUAGAAGAACUGACUGACCCUGUCAGCAUAAAGAACAUCGCCUAUCAGAAAACGGGAAGCAACUCAUAUAGCAUAGACUUUGCAUUCAAAAUCAGCAAUGUGAGCAUGUCUGUGAUGACGGACCAGAGGAGCGCAACAUAUGAGUUAAUACAGUACAAAAUCAACAGCCUGAUGAACACAAUCUUGAAUGCCCCAACUGAGGCAUCAGUUAACUUCUCACAAGCAAAUUACACGGGUAAUGCUACAUUAAUAGAGGCAACUGAAAUAUACAUCUAUAGGGAGUGUGAUAUCAAGUCGACAAGUGAGUUUCUUCUUCAACUCCUAACACUUCAUACACCUCCUGCCAUUGGAUCAGCUGAGGUUCAAACCACCAUGGUGUUCAGCUCGUCCUCUCCUGUUCCCAGUGAGAGUUUGGUCCUCGGUGCUAUCACAGUUCUGCUUAACUCUCGACUCACAAACCUCACUGACUCUGUAACAGUGCUGAACUUCACCUAUGAGAAAAUAUCAGACACAUCCUAUGCAAUCAUUUUCAUAUUCAAGAUCAGUAACAUCAGCAUUCCAGAGAACCCUAACCUCAGGAACGAAACCCACAGCCAUGUAAAGAGCAUCAUCAAUGACGCUCUAAACAUGCUACUAAAUAGGCCUUGUGCAGUGCGAUUUGAAACCAACAAUUUCAACUUCACAAGAUCAGAAGAUAAGAUUGAUGGAUACAUGAACUACACUUUCCAACAAUCAGAAACCAAAAAACCAGCCAGCUUCUUCGAUGAACUCAAGAUUAUACCUGGUUUGGUUGUGGUCAAUACCACCCUGGUGUUCAACUCGUCCUCUCCUAUUACCUGUGAGAGUUUUUACCACAGUGCUCUCGAAGCUCUGCUGAACUCUAGACACACAAACCUUACUGAGUCUGUAAGAGUGCUGACCUGUGAGGAAAUUUCAAACACCUCCUACACAGUUAGCAUUAAAUUCAUCAGUAACAUCAGCAUGCCGAGCAACCCUGACCUCAGGAACGACACCUACACCCAAGUGGAGAACAUCAUCAAUAACGCAGUAAACACACUUCUAAACAAUUUUGGUUCAGAUCCAUUAAAACCCACUACCUCCAACUUCACGAGUUCAGAGAAUGAAGUUACUGGUUACAUGGAAUACAAUCUCAAAGUCUCCCUCAAUCAGACUGGGAAUGCUACAGUGCAGACUUCUCCAGAACCUCCAUCCACAAUGAACGGAACUGUAUACAUUUUCAUAACAUUGAAAUUCAAUAACUUGAUCACUCUACCUACUGAGGCUGUGGUUCUCAGAGCUGCUAAUGAAAAGCUCGAUCCAAAGAUCAGAAGACAGCGUGAUACUACAACAAAACUGAGUACACCUAUCCGUAUACAGAACAUCAAUUAUACUCGAACGGGCAACAACUCAUUCAGUUUGGACAUGGCAUUCAUGAUCAGCGAUGUUAAUAUGUCUGUUCGAUGUGAUUUCAACUAUAGCUUAAUACAAGAACAAAUAAACAACCUGAUGAAUACAAUCCUGACUAAUCCACAGAACCAAACAUUUAUCUUCCCAUGGGCAAACUUCACGUGUAAUGUUUCCGGAUUAGUGAUUGUGGCUGAACAAGUAUAUGUCUAUAACGAGACGGAUAUAAAGACACCAAGUGGCUUUGUUCAUGAAAUACUCAAAGCAAGUGGUCUGUUGUACUAUACAAUUCCUGCCAUUACAAGCAUUCAGCCCACCACAAAACCUGGAAACAGCACCGAUACAGGGGCUGCAUGGAUUUUGGGCUUCGUUAUCCCAUGUGGUAUAGUCCUCAUUCUUCUCCCAUGUUGGAUUCUACUCUGUUGUAUUCUUUGUGGAUGCUGUGCAGGAAUUAGAAGACGUUGGCUCAGGCGACGAUCAUACAACGUUCAGUAUCAAACUCACAGCAGUCUCUUCUAAAGCACAACAUACCAUACAUUCUCAAUUGGAGUUAUUAAUUUAAAGUGUUGUAAUCUGUCUUGAUGUACAAAAGCAGAUGCUUUUAGACAUACUAUUCCAUACUACACAGAGGUAAUUUAGUUAAGAUUAAAUCUGUAAAUAUAUGCAAUCACAAAAUAUUAUUCAUUAAUAAAUUAAUUUAUUCUUCUAAUUUAUUUUCAAACAAUAUAUGUUAAUUUAUUACUUUAUUACUUUAAAAAUAGUACUAUACAUUUCAUUUCAAAUAGAGGGAUAUGUUAUUUCUAAAUAACUAUUUAUUUACAUUUAUUUGCACUUUAUCAGUUUGUCAACAAUCAUUGUGCCAUGUUCUAUUGUGUGCUAUUAUUAUGCUGUGUAAUAUCAAUUCCUUUGAAGUACUAUUCUACUUAUGCCAUUAAAAUUAUUCCCCUGAAUGAAUUAUUCAUUUUCUUCAUAACUGAAAACACAAACUGUUUUACUGUUCUGUGCAAGAACAAUCCUCAAUCCUAUAGGUUCCUAUUGAAUCUGCUAGACAGUGGAAUUAAGAGUGUACAGUUGCAAUCAAAAUCAUUCAACCCCUACUGCAAAUUAGAUUUAUUGUAAAAAUGUACAGACUUUCAGCUGCGAUGAACAAAUCAAACAAAAGCAAUUGAAAUAGUUCAACCCGACGAAUGCUUCAAGGGGUUUCCCCAAAUUGAAAAUGCAUCUUAUAAUAACUUCUCCAGUUUCAAAAUUAUUCACCCCCCUGAAUAGAAUCCCUCACAACAGCACAAAUAUGUAAAACAGGUGUUGUCUCAAUCACUGAUGCUAAACUAAUCAAGGGCUUCAUUAGCUGCACCAGGUGUGGUUGAGCUGGAACACAUGAAAUGCCUGAACUAGGGGCAGAAAAUUCAUGAAAUACCUGGACGGGGCAGAAAAAGGAAGCUAUAAACGGUUGCAACCAGAUUUCUGAGAAGGCAGGUUGUGAAAAACCCUCGAGUGACUGUGAAAGACCUGCAGCAAGACUUGGUGGCAACAGGCACUGAGGUUUCAAUAAGCAUAGUAAGGCGCGUAUUAAACACAUAAGGUUUCCAUGCCAGAACUCCAAGACGUUCACCACUACUGACUCAAAAUCAUAUAAAUAAGGCACAGAAGUUUUGGGAUUCUGUUCUGUGGAGCAACGAAACAAAACUGGAACAUUUCGGCAGGAUGGAUCAGCGGUAUGUCUGGAGGAAGAAUGAAGAAAGAACGCUGUCCACAGUCAAGCAUGGCGGUGGCUUGGUGAUGCUCUGGGGCUGUUUUGCAUCCACUGGCACUGGAAACCUGCAGCGUGUGGAAGGCGAGAUGGAUUCAUUGAAGUAUCAGGAAAUCCUAUGAGAAAACAUCAUGCCGUCUGUGAGGAACCUGAAGCUUGGGUAUCAUUGGACCUUCCAACAGGACAAUGAUCCCAAGCAUAUCUCAAAUUCCACCAAGGCUUGGUUGCAGAGGAAGUCCUGGAAAAUUCUACAGGGCCAUCACAGUCACCUGACUUGAACCCCAUAGAAAACCUCUGGUGGAAUUUGAAGAAGGCGUUUACUGCAUGCAAACCCAAGAAUAUUACUGAACUGGAGGCCACUGCUCAUGAGGAAUGUGAUAAGAUUCUUCAGGAACACUGCCAGAAACUGGUGUCUGGCUAUGCAUCUUGUUUGCAGCAGGUCAACAGCAAAAGGAGCUCUACUAAGUACUAAAGAUGCUUGUCAUGAAGGGGUUGAAUAAUUUUGAAAAGUUAUUAUAAAUUGCAUUUUCAGUUGAAUUUGGGGAAACCACUUGAAGCAUUAAUUAUGUCGAACUAUUUCAGUUACUUCUGUUUUGAUUUGUUCAUUGCAAACAGC
Long non-coding RNA from Ictalurus punctatus (channel catfish), 5977 nucleotides. NCBI's taxonomy places the organism in Eukaryota, Metazoa, Chordata, Actinopteri, Siluriformes, Ictaluridae. The record is from Ensembl.